CUUAGCAGAGAUGCUUGGUGCCUUCGGGAACUCUGAGACAGGUAGCUGCAUGGCUGUCGUCAGCUCGUGUUGUGAAAUGUUGGGUUAAGUCCCGCAACGAGCGCAACCCUUAUCCUUUGUUGCCAGCGGUCCGGCCGGGAACUCAAAGGAGACUGCCAGUGAUAAACUGGAGGAAGGUGGGGAUGACGUCAAGUCAUCAUGGCCCUUACGAGUAGGGCUACACACGUGCUACAAUGGCGCAUACAAAGAGAAGCGACCUCGCGAGGGCAAGCGGACCUCAUAAAGUGCGUCGUAGUCCGGAUUGGAGUCUGCAACUCGACUCCAUGAAGUCGGAAUCGCUAGUAAUCGUAGAUCAGAAUGCUACGGUGAAUACGUUCCCGGGCCUUGUACACACCGCCCGUCACACCAUGGGAGUGGGUUGCAAAAGAAGUAGGUAGCUUAACCUUCGGGAGGGCGCUUACCACUUUGUGAUUCAUGACUGGGGUGAAGUCGUAACAAGGUAGGCGUAGCGAG
Molecule: ribosomal RNA, 513 nt
Filed under: uncultured bacterium
Lineage: Bacteria
Description: bacterial SSU rRNA
Rfam family: Bacterial small subunit ribosomal RNA
Source: RNAcentral